RNAcentral lists this ribosomal RNA (181 nucleotides) under uncultured Anoxybacillus sp. Its description in RNAcentral is "partial 16S ribosomal RNA". It matches the Rfam family "Bacterial small subunit ribosomal RNA", at positions 1205 to 1382 of the family's 1533-position model. The record is from RNAcentral. Lineage: Bacteria; Bacillati; Bacillota; Bacilli; Caryophanales; Anoxybacillaceae.
UGACCUGGGCUACACACGUGCUACAAUGGGCGGUACAAAGGGUCGCGAACCCGCGAGGGGGAGCCAAUCCCAAAAAGCCGACUCUCAGUUCGGAUUGCAGGCUGCAACUCGCCUGCAUGAAGCCGGAAUCGCUAGUAAUACGCGGAUCAGCAUGCCGCGGUGAAUACGUUCCCGGGUCCUU